UACGAAGGGGGCUAGCGUUGCUCGGAAUCACUGGGCGUAAAGCGCACGUAGGCGGAUUUGUAAGUCAGGGGUGAAAUCCCGAGGCUCAACCUCGGAACUGCCUUUGUGACUGCAUGGCUGGAGUGCGGCAGAGGGGGAUGGAAUUCCGCGUGUAGCAGUGAAAUGCGUAGAUAUGCGGAGGAACACCGAUGGCGAAGGCAAUCCCCUGGGCCUGCACUGACGCUCAUGCACGAAAGCGUGGGGAGCAAACAGG
RNAcentral lists this ribosomal RNA (253 nucleotides) under uncultured bacterium. Its description in RNAcentral is "partial 16S ribosomal RNA". It matches the Rfam family "Bacterial small subunit ribosomal RNA", at positions 524 to 776 of the family's 1533-position model. The record is from RNAcentral.